This 686-nucleotide long non-coding RNA is filed under the name Mytilus galloprovincialis (Mediterranean mussel). Lineage: Eukaryota; Metazoa; Mollusca; Bivalvia; Mytilida; Mytilidae. The record is from RNAcentral.
UACUUAUUGUGUUUUAUUUGUGUACUAUCAAUUCCAAGUUUACUUUCCACAGCAGUCACUGAGAGCACAGUCGCCUGAAGAUUUCAUAAUUAUAGCGAAAAAAUGUGGGAAAUAAAAUAUUUUUAGUAGUAUUAUAUAGAAUAACUAGUCCGAGAUUACUCUGACGUCCAACGGCUGUUUUGCCAGACAAGCUGGGGUCGUCCCCUGUCCCGCGGCCACAGCUUGUCUGGCAAAACAGUCGUUGGACGUCAGAGUAAUCUCGGACUAACUGAAAGUGAGAGAAGGUAUUUCACUUCGUAUCUUAUGAUCCGUAUCUUAUCACCGUUAAUUCUAGGAGGAACACCAUUUCUAACUCUUUAGAUAUUAAUUUCCUUUGGGUCAGUGGGCAUGACUCCUUUCCGUACACACUCCUCUGUUAAAAUUGAGAUCGUUCUUAAUAUAAUACGACAUUUAUCGACAUCCAACGAGUUAAUUUUUCUUGACGAGUCGUGUUGUACUUUGAUUUUGACGGGAAAUACUUUCGGAAGGGAGACAACUCGAAACGAUAAUAUGGAAGACUCCAUUUCGGCUGAAGGGGUGUUAUAGGUAAAUCUACAUUGAUUUUAAUUUAAAUGAUGCAUAUGAUUUUUAAAUUAUGCAACGACAAUAUUAAAUCCUCAAUAGCAGACAGACAUAGAAAGAAUCCC